Molecule: ribosomal RNA, 82 nt
Filed under: Pellia epiphylla
Lineage: Eukaryota; Viridiplantae; Streptophyta; Jungermanniopsida; Pelliales; Pelliaceae
Source: RNAcentral
UGAUGCGGUUAUACCAAGGCUACUACACCAGAUCCCAUCAGAACUCUGAAGUUAAGCGCCUUUGGGCCGGAAUAGUACUGGG